Helianthus annuus (common sunflower) is the source of this 4232-nucleotide RNA transcript. RefSeq lists it as uncharacterized. The transcript has 9 exons. NCBI's taxonomy places the organism in Eukaryota, Viridiplantae, Streptophyta, Magnoliopsida, Asterales, Asteraceae. The record is from RefSeq and is a predicted model, not a curated record.
UUCAAUUCUCCUUACCGCUUACAAUUCCUUCAUUCUUCUUUCACACGCUCCUUGGAUUAUAUAUGGAAACUUGAAUAAUUCUUCAAUUACUGGAACAUCAUAUGGAAGCGUUUCCAAUCUUUUGCAAUUAGUCAAAAGGGUUAUUCUUCUACAUUGAAACCCUAAUAUGUUCGAAUUGAACCAUUAUGUUAAUGCUUUCAUUAUAUUUAAUUUUGUAAAAGAGAAACAAGAGAGAGAUGGAGCAGAUGAGAGACGCAGACGGGAGAUGGUCAUCUUCUCUGACGACUGGGGUCAGCGAUAGGGCUUUCUUAGUAGCCAGCGACGGCGAUGGUUCCAAGGUGAUUGUUGUCAUCGGUGGUCAGCAAAGGGUGAGAUCUGUCUUCCAACGGCUAGGGUUCCGCCAUGAAUCACUGGCGGCAACGAACAUUGAUUAUUGACAUAGCUGGUGAUACCACAAUUAUCAUGUCCAGUUCCUUUGUUCACUUAUUACAACCCAUUUCCUAAGCUUGGAGUGGAGAAAUUCAUGGUUAAUGUGAAAGAGUUGGAGUACAUGGUAACUUAUAAGCUAUUUAUACUCGAUUUUCAUUCUAAUGUAAGUUUUCCUUUUAUAAUAAGAACAUAACUUAUAUUAUAACGUUAAAUCUAGCAUUCGUGACAUUCUACCAACCAGGCUCUCAAUGGCUUUCACAUUUGUUGGAAACUCUACUUCUAUUCAAGAAAUCUUUAGACAAGUGAGUGAGUAGUUUACUACCAUGUUUAGGCGUGAAGCUUUCUUGCGAUGGUGUACCGGUGAAGGAAUGGAUGAGAUGGAGUUCACCGAAGCUGAAAGUAACAUGAAUGAUUAUGUAGCUGAAUAUCAAGAAUAUCAAGAUGCUACAUCAGAUGUAGAAUAUGAUGAAAAGGGUAAGGAGGAAGAGAAAGAUCAAUAUGAAGGGUAAAUUUGUAAAAAAAAAAAAGAAAAACAAAUGGUGUGUUUUGUUUUUGUCAGUUCUAUAUGAUGUAGUUUGGAGUGUACUCUUUAAGGUUGUGGUUUUAGAUACUUCAUGGAAAUCGGUAUCAUGCGAUAUGUGUUGGAUUUAAUACUAAUGGGAAUGGUGAGACUUCAAGGUUGUGCCCAAGGUGUUUAGUUGAAUGAAGGUCCCCUCCUUCCGAGGUACGCUCCAAUUAAGCACCACAUCUACAACAACAAUCUCAAUCAACCCAUCGAUACAAUAUGAUGCCAUGAUUAUCAAGUGGAGGAUUUAUAGCAUCUGCAGCCUGAAGCUUAAAUUGAAUGUUCAUGUUAUGCAUUGAGUUCUGUGGCUUAAAUGUGGACAAAUUUGCCUGUUGGUUAAUAGGUUGUGUAUAGCUAACACGAAAUUAGUGGAAUGCAAUAUUUGGUGCAGGCAACGUAUUAACAGGUACCACUUUCUUAGUCCUCAAAACACUUUUAUUAAUGUUGAAUUCUUAAGCAAUAUGUUGGCUAAGCCUUGGGUUGUCAUUAAAUGUUUAAAUUAACUUUGACCUUUUCUAAGCAUAGUCACAGGAUUUGCAGAAACCCCACAUCUCGCGGACCAGAUCGCUCGUAUUGGAAUUGGGUACAGAGUCGAACCGAACGCUACGGGUUCGUGAUUCGGAUCGGAAAUAUUGGUCAUCCUUUUGAGAGCCGAUCUUUCUUCCAACCGGUUGUAACCAGGUUUGUUUCUCAUCGAUUUGUGUUAUUUUGAUUCCCCAUUGUCUUACUGAAUUUGAUUGUUAGUUUUAGUGUUGUAUUUUCACUUAGUUUAUUGAAAGCAAUUUACACUAAUUGAAAGAAACUUGUCGAACAUCUGAUUACGGUGACAACCGAACCUGCAAUUUAGCUCUUCACAUUUCAAUCUCCAUCUGAUUAUUCUUAAGAUCGGAUGAUUGUUAGGUAACUAGCUUCGAUUUUGUCAGUUGCUUCAGUUUUGAGCUGAGCUUAUUCGAUACAUUUCUUCAAGCUAUCUGGGUUUUACGACAGACGAUUGAUGCAAUGAUGUAGUGAUCUAUGCUCAAUUGUUUUUACUUGCUUCGAUGUUGCACGUAUUUGGUCGUUUUUUCAACCUUAUCAAAGAAAAUAUUUUGGGCUUAUUCGAUCCAUUUCUACAUAAUUACUAUGUCCAUCAUUCAGGUACAUUCAAAUUCAAAGAAACGGUUUUCGUAAAAAAAAUAUGUUGUGGUAGUACUUAGUCAGAAAUCUGAACUACGUAUGUACAAAAUAGUGUGUAGACAAGAUUAUUAUACAAGAAUUUUGGCAGGUUUUCUAAUAAGUGUUGUGUAUGGUCCGCAUGGUAGCUCAUCUGAGCUUUCAUGUCAUGACGAGCCAGAGUCAUCACCGGAAGCCACAGUUCAUGACAGAGUCAAACGACAAGAGACUGAAUUCGUAAGCUGUAAAAAAGAGACUGGCGUUGAAGAAAGCAGUAGUGAAUUUGAAAAACUAUCGCUGAUACGAGAAACUAUCCAAGCAUUCAAGCAUCAGUUGUUUCGAAGAGUUAGCUUUUGAAGAACUUUUGAUUGUUAUUGAGGCGAGGAUCGGUAUUGUGAAAUCAUUAUAUUUCCUGCCAUCAUUAAUGCACUGGCUUGAGUCUUUAAUGUUGGCUAGCUAGCUUCGGGAAAAGAUCGCUGGCCACAUGACUGAUAUACACGUCUCAAUCUCACUGGAUCAAUGACGCCCACUGUUUCUGAAGUCAACAUUGAUGAAAUCCGAUCGACUUCUACCAACUCUGAUAGGUACCCUGCUUAUCUUCAUGCUCCCAUGACCAGUUCUCCAAACCUUCCUCCGAACAUUUCCGGUACAAUAAUACACCUCAAUUGUUUGUUUGCGUGCUUGUGUUUUUCAGAUAAUUGUAUGCGAUUUUUUAGAUGUUGUUUGUUAUCAUUUCAGUUAUUAUGAAUUAUGAUUUAAUUUAGUUUUUAAUCUCAGUUAUGGGUAUUUUAUUUUUUGGGUGCCAGUUUACCGUUAUGUUGGAUAAUUAUUUAGGGGUCUUUGGGGUAGUCUCACUAAUCAGCUGAGAGUAAAAAGUUAGCAUGAAUCCAUGAUUAAGAUUUCUGAUUGUCUAGGCUUAAAUAAUGAGAUUAGAGGUGGGUAUGGAGGUGCCUACUGAUGUAAAAUUGGCGAACUGCUUUUAACCUUGGGCCGGGUUAUCACCUAUGAUGAUGAUUUGGAAGUGAGAUGAAUAUUUUUAUUUGUAUUAUGCUAUUGGUUCACCAGAUAAUUUGCCAAGAUGAAAGUGAACCCAAGAAUAUUAUUUAGUAAUUGGACUAUUUUGACCAAUCAAAAGUCGACAUAUGGCGCAAGGGUGAAAAUUUUGGGCAUGCACUAGCAAGGAGAAUCAUCUGGACCAAUCUUGAAACGACACAUGGCAAGGAGACGUGUCCAAUUGCCAUGGAUAGGUCACGUGGAUAUUUUCAAAUGAGGGGAUUUCACAGGUGUGUUGAUGGUUAUUUGGAUACCGUUAUCUUCUUUUAUUUUCUUUUCUUGAUCAUGCAGAGAUCUACAGAAAGCAACCUACAAUUUCACCUCAUUGAUAGGCCAAGGGGCAUUUGGUUCUGUUUAUAAAGCUUAGAUGACUACUGGUGAAGCAGGAACCGUUCAAUUAUGCUUAACGAGAUAAGUUGACAAACAAUAUGUAUUGUGUUAUUCCAUCUACCCUAAUCAAUACGGGUUGCAAAAUAGUUCGGUCGGGCAGGUUGGAUAACGGGUCAAUUUAAGUUGUUUAUGGUACUGUCAGAACGGGUUGAGCCGACCCAAUAUUUUAUCUUUAGAAGAUCUUCCAGGUAAUUGCGUACAAAUUUAAAAUCACACGCAUACAUGCUUUUUAAUUAUAUGCUUGCUUGAUUAUUUGGGUAAACAAUUGCCUUUUUUAAUGAAAUGUCGAUUUUUUCUUGAAGUUAAUCAUUUUGUUGUGGAGAUAGGUAAUCCACUUUUGGACUUCAAUACAAGUUUUAAUUCAAGGGGGAGGGAGAUAGAGAUGUUCAUGGUUCGGUUCAAAAUCAUGAAAUCGGUCAACACUUUGUGAUAAGCAUGACAUAUUGGAUGAAAAAAUUUAGCGAUUGUCGGUUGUCACAUCUUUGAGGGUGGAAUGAAUCUUUUCAUUUGUGAGUUUGUAGCAUUCCAAGAUGUAAAAAGAGGAGUGUUGAUUUUAAGUGAGGUAACUAUUGGUACAAUAAACUUUGUAAUAACUUAUAUUAUUUGUGAAUGUUAUAAAGUGGAAACUUAGGGUUUAAAUAUA